RNAcentral lists this ribosomal RNA (498 nucleotides) under uncultured bacterium. RNAcentral describes it as "partial 16S ribosomal RNA". It matches the Rfam family "Bacterial small subunit ribosomal RNA", at positions 30 to 523 of the family's 1533-position model. The record is from RNAcentral.
AUUGAACGCUGGCGGCAUGCCUUACACAUGCAAGUCGAACGGUAACAGGUCUUCGGAUGCUGACGAGUGGCGAACGGGUGAGUAAUACAUCGGAACGUGCCUAGUAGUGGGGGAUAACUACUCGAAAGAGUGGCUAAUACCGCAUGUGAUCUACGGAUGAAAGCAGGGGAUCGCAAGACCUUGUGCUACUAGAGCGGCCGAUGGCAGAUUAGGUAGUUGGUGGGAUAAAAGCUUACCAAGCCGACGAUCUGUAGCUGGUCUGAGAGGACGAUCAGCCACACUGGGACUGAGACACGGCCCAGACUCCUACGGGAGGCAGCAGUGGGGAAUUUUGGACAAUGGGCGCAAGCCUGAUCCAGCAAUGCCGCGUGCAGGAUGAAGGCCUUCGGGUUGUAAACUGCUUUUGUACGGAACGAAAAGCCCCGGGUUAAUACCCUGGGGUCAUGACGGUACCGUAAGAAUAAGCACCGGCUAACUACGUGCCAGCCGCCGCCGUAA